Molecule: ribosomal RNA, 576 nt
Filed under: Listeria monocytogenes
Lineage: Bacteria; Bacillati; Bacillota; Bacilli; Caryophanales; Listeriaceae
Description: partial 23S ribosomal RNA
Rfam family: Bacterial large subunit ribosomal RNA
Source: RNAcentral
GACUGCUGGAGCGCUUAGAAGUGAGAAUGCCGGUAUGAGUAGCGAAAGACAGGUGAGAAUCCUGUCCACCGAAUGACUAAGGUUUCCUGGGGAAGGCUCGUCCGCCCAGGGUUAGUCGGGACCUAAGCCGAGGCCGACAGGCGUAGGCGAUGGACAACAGGUUGAUAUUCCUGUACCCGUUGUUUUUGUUUGAGCAAUGGAGGGACGCAGGAGGCUAAGAAGUGCAGACUGAUGGAUAUGUCUGUUCAAGCAGUAAGUCUUGGUAGGAGUCAAAUGCUUCUACCUAUACGGACAAGCUGUGAUGAGGAGGGAAAUAAUAGUACCGAAGCUUCUGAUGUCACACUGCCAAGAAAAGCUUCUAGUGAGAAAACAACGGCCCGUACCGCAAACCGACACAGGUAGUCGAGGAGAGAAUCCUAAGGUGAGCGAGAGAACUCUCGUUAAGGAACUCGGCAAAAUGACCCCGUAACUUCGGGAGAAGGGGUGCUGCUCUAACGAGCAGCCGCAGUGAAUAGGCCCAAGCGACUGUUUAUCAAAAACACAGGUCUCUGCAAAAUCGAAAGAUGACGUAUAGGG